Molecule: ribosomal RNA, 821 nt
Filed under: Pseudophialocephala aquatica
Lineage: Eukaryota; Fungi; Ascomycota; Sordariomycetes; Chaetosphaeriales; Chaetosphaeriaceae
Description: eukaryotic LSU rRNA
Rfam family: Eukaryotic large subunit ribosomal RNA
Source: RNAcentral
CAGGGAUUGCCUCAGUAACGGCGAGUGAAGCGGCAACAGCUCAAAUUUGAAAUCUGGCCCCCCGGCCCGAGUUGUAAUUUGCAGAGGAUGCUUCGGGCGCGGUGCCUUCCAAGUCCCCUGGAACGGGGCGCCGGAGAGGGUGAGAGCCCCGUACGGUUGGCGGCCAAGCCUGUGUGAAGCUCCUUCGACGAGUCGAGUAGUUUGGGAAUGCUGCUCUAAGCGGGAGGUAGACCCCUUCUAAAGCUAAAUAUAGGCCAGAGACCGAUAGCGCACAAGUAGAGUGAUCGAAAGAUGAAAAGCACUUUGAAAAGAGGGUUAAACAGCACGUGAAAUUGUUGAAAGGGAAGCGCUUGCGACCAGACGUGCGCCGGGGUGCUCAGCGGGCGUUCUCGCCCGUGCACUCGCCCCGGCGCAGGCCAGCGUCGGUUCGCGUGGGAGGAUAAAGGCGCCUGGAAUGUGGCUCCCCCGGGAGUGUUAUAGCCAGGCGUGCCAUGCUCCCCCGCGGACCGAGGUACGCGUUCUGCAAGGACGCUGGCGUAAUGGUCCCCAGCGACCCGUCUUGAAACACGGACCAAGGAGUCGAGGUUUUGCGCGAGUGUUUGGGUGUUAAACCCGCACGCGUAAUGAAAGUGAACGUAGGUGGGAGCUUCGGCGCACCACCGACCGAUCCUGAUGUUUUCGGAUGGAUUUGAGUAAGAGCGUAGGGCCUCGGACCCGAAAGAUGGUGAACUAUGCUUGGAUAGGGUGAAGCCAGAGGAAACUCUGGUGGAGGCUCGCAGCGGUUCUGACGUGCAAAUCGAUCGUCAAAUCUGAGCAUGGGG